This is a non-coding RNA of Pteropus alecto (black flying fox), 119 nucleotides long. The record is from Rfam. NCBI's taxonomy places the organism in Eukaryota, Metazoa, Chordata, Mammalia, Chiroptera, Pteropodidae.
GUCUACGGUCAUGCCAUCCUGAACACUCCCGAUCCCAUCUGAUCUUGGAAGCUAAGCAGGGUUGGGCCUGGUUAGUAUUUGGAUGGGAGACCACCUAAGAAUACCAGGUGCUGUAGAAG